Long non-coding RNA from Candoia aspera, 1516 nucleotides. RefSeq lists it as uncharacterized. Lineage: Eukaryota; Metazoa; Chordata; Lepidosauria; Squamata; Candoiidae. The transcript is spliced from 3 exons. The record is from RefSeq and is a predicted model, not a curated record.
CCUGCCAUAAUACUGUACAUGUGCAGCCACAUAUAUGAGAGACAGCAGCUCUCACUUGGCUUUGGAGAGAAAAAACGUGAAGGCCCCAGAACCUUAAAAGAUGGAUGAGCAUCGUAUAGGAUCAUACAGCUGUUAUGGGGGAUGAGUGUGUGGGUCAAGAACCAAGGCUUGAGACAAAUCCAGAAAGUUUCCUUAAAUGCAUCUUCACUUUUAGUGAUUAUGUACACGCUGUAUUGAUAUUAAAGUCUGAGGCAGAAGAAGUGCCAGUGCUGAUCCUUAAAUCUCCAAACAAGAAAGAAGGGGAAAAGAAAGAAGGUCCUUUUGGCUGUUUUCCAUAAAUCUAGAAUUAUGAAAGUUUCAUUCCUCUGAGACUUCCCUCCUGCUGGAGCUUUGGAGUGUGACAAUGGUGUUUGUAUCCAAUCUGUCAAACGCCAUUAUCACACUAAAUAGCUACUGUUAGAUAAACCAUCAGCUGCAGAAAAAAAAGGAGGAGGAGGAGGAGGUGUUGGUGGUGACGGAGGAGGAGAAGAAUAUUUGAGAAAUGCAUUUUCUGGCAGCUGCGAGAGAACACCACAGUGGCAUGUCGUGACAACUCUGUACUUUUCAUUGCCAAAAUACCAUACAAUAAAUAAUACAUUUGCUUUCUUAAAAGUGCAUAUGUGAUCCAACUACUUUUGCUGAGAUGGCAUGACUCAAAUUUAUCUUCAUCAAUGGCAGGAAAAUUUGACUGCUCAAGAGCAAAUGAUUAUGUAGAUUCAUUGGAACACACAGCCUACACACAACUGUCUCUCUUUUCCUUCAUAAUAAUCCAAUAUUAAGUAUUCAUUCCAUUUAUUAACAAGUUAAUAGUUAUGGCUAUUUUAGUCUGGAGUAGGGGCUCUAUUGUUGCAUUGACUUUAGAUAAAUAAGCUGGAUCAUAAAAGCAUAAUUCUGUUUGGGACUCAGCUGCACGCAGCCCAGCUGUGAAUACAUUCAUCAUCUAGCUAGAUGCUAAAGAGAAUAGAAGACAGCUUGUCACAUUGUCUGAAAUUUGGCAGAAAAGUAACCAUGAUCCAUUCCCAUAACUGCAAAAUAAAUAUUCCAUUGUUGCACCUAUCUUUGAAAUCAAUGGGAAGACGGAAUUAGGGCUGUGUACAAUCCACUGUCAUGGUCACAUCAGGAUUCAACCUCUAACUUCCACCUUUGACUGUAUUAUCCCAACCUGAUUUGGAAUCAUCAUCACCAUCACCAUCAUCAUCGCCAUCGCCAUCACCAUCACCAUCAUCUCAUAUAUAGGCAAAAUGUCUAUUAAAUAUCAGUAAAGAUAACACUGUACUUUUCAUCAACUGGUUGUACUGUACUUUUAAAGUCUAUUUAAUUUAUUUAUGUACUUACUUAUUAGGUUUUUAUGCUGUUCCAAACAUAGUUGACUCUGAGCAAUGAUACCAAAAUCAGUUUUUCUACUAAGUAUACUCUCAAGCGGGAUCCCAGUCAUGGCUCACCUAUUAAUUUGGUGUGAUAAAAGUGUUUAAAAACA